GACGAACGCUGGCGGCGUGCUUAACACAUGCAAGUCGAACGGAAAGGCCCUGCUUUUGUGGGGUGCUCGAGUGGCGAACGGGUGAGUAACACGUGAGUAACCUGCCCUUGACUUUGGGAUAACUUCAGGAAACUGGGGCUAAUACCGGAUAGGAGCUCCUGCUGCAUGGUGGGGGUUGGAAAGUUUCGGCGGUUGGGGAUGGACUCGCGGCUUAUCAGCUUGUUGGUGGGGUAGUGGCUUACCAAGGCUUUGACGGGUAGCCGGCCUGGGAGGGUGACCGGCCACAUUGGGACUGAGAGACGGCGCAGACGCCUACGGGAGGCAGCAGUGGGGAAUAUUGCACAAUGGGCGGAAGCCUGAUGCAGCAACGCCGCGGGCGGGAUGACGGCCUUCGGGUUGUAAACCGCUUUCGCCUGUGACGAAGCGUGAGUGACGGUAAUGGGUAAAGAAGCACCGGCUAACUACGUG
Molecule: ribosomal RNA, 468 nt
Filed under: uncultured bacterium
Lineage: Bacteria
Description: partial 16S ribosomal RNA
Rfam family: Bacterial small subunit ribosomal RNA
Source: RNAcentral